ACAGUCGAGCGGCAGCACAGAGGAACUUGUUCCUUGGGUGGCGAGCGGCGGACGGGUGAGUAAUGCCUAGGAAAUUGCCCUGAUGUGGGGGAUAACCAUUGGAAACGAUGGCUAAUACCGCAUGAUGCCUACGGGCCAAAGAGGGGGACCUUCGGGCCUCUCGCGUCAGGAUAUGCCUAGGUGGGAUUAGCUAGUUGGUGAGGUAAUGGCUCACCAAGGCGACGAUCCCUAGCUGGUCUGAGAGGAUGAUCAGCCACACUGGAACUGAGACACGGUCCAGACUCCUACGGGAGGCAGCAGUGGGGAAUAUUGCACAAUGGGCGCAAGCCUGAUGCAGCCAUGCCGCGUGUAUGAAGAAGGCCUUCGGGUUGUAAAGUACUUUCAGUCGUGAGGAAGGUGGUGUUGUUAAUAGCAGCAUCAUUUGACGUUAGCGACAGAAGAAGCACCGGCUAACUCCGUGCCAGCAGCCGCGGUAAUACGGAGGGUGCGAGCGUUAAUCGGAAUUACUGGGCGUAAAGCGCAUGCAGGUGGUGGAUUAAGUCAG
Molecule: ribosomal RNA, 544 nt
Filed under: Vibrio anguillarum
Lineage: Bacteria; Pseudomonadati; Pseudomonadota; Gammaproteobacteria; Vibrionales; Vibrionaceae
Description: bacterial SSU rRNA
Rfam family: Bacterial small subunit ribosomal RNA
Source: RNAcentral